UGAGUAACAGCUCAGUGGUAGAGCGCCUGCCUAACAUACAUGAGGUCCUGGGUUCAAUCCCCAGUACCUCCA
This 72-nucleotide transfer RNA is filed under the name Camelus bactrianus (Bactrian camel). It matches the Rfam family "tRNA". From Rfam's summary of the family: Transfer RNA (tRNA) molecules are approximately 80 nucleotides in length. Their secondary structure includes four short double-helical elements and three loops (D, anti-codon, and T loops). The record is from Rfam by way of RNAcentral. Lineage: Eukaryota; Metazoa; Chordata; Mammalia; Artiodactyla; Camelidae. RNAcentral also lists the same sequence under 2 other names.